Molecule: transfer RNA, 73 nt
Filed under: Bos taurus (domestic cattle)
Lineage: Eukaryota; Metazoa; Chordata; Mammalia; Artiodactyla; Bovidae
Also listed under: 2 other names
Rfam family: tRNA
About the family: Transfer RNA (tRNA) molecules are approximately 80 nucleotides in length.
Source: Rfam by way of RNAcentral
CCCCGAAUGGCUCAGCAGGUAAAAGCAUCUGCCUGCAAUGCAGGAGACACAAGUUCGAUUCCUGGGUUGGGAA